UAUAUAUUAUAUAUUAAAUACCUUACUUUGAAGUGAAAUUGUGAAAAAACUAAUGCAGCUAGAAAGCAUUGGAAAGAGUGGCCCGUUUACUAUAAGAGUCGAUGAAAAAGUGAAAACCGAUUUUUUCUGACCGUAGGUCCCUUUUAACUUUACGUGUCA
Long non-coding RNA from Rhagoletis zephyria (snowberry fruit fly), 159 nucleotides. RefSeq lists it as uncharacterized. The record is from RefSeq and is a predicted model, not a curated record. Lineage: Eukaryota; Metazoa; Arthropoda; Insecta; Diptera; Tephritidae.